Polypterus senegalus (gray bichir) is the source of this 441-nucleotide non-coding RNA. Lineage: Eukaryota; Metazoa; Chordata; Cladistia; Polypteriformes; Polypteridae. The record is from the annotation of a RefSeq genome assembly.
GUACAGCAGACAGCAGUGAUGGCUAAAAGAAAGAAUACGGAAAGCCGCCCAUUAUACGUAACUCUAAUAUGGAUGACACUUGCAGGACUGUGUUCUGGUGACUUCGUGUCACAGAUUCCACAUGUUCAAAAGGCUGAAGAAGGACGGAACGUUACGCUAAAUUGCUCGUACAACACCUCAAGCACUAAUGCUGUUUAUCUGCAGUGGUACCAGCACUAUCCCACCGCAGCCCCACGCUACCUUCUUCAGAGAUAUUCCACAGGUGGUGGAGAUGAACUCGGCGUAAAAGACGGCAGAUUUUCUGCUGACCUGAACCAUUCCAAGCGGUUUACACAGUUAACAUUGCGAGAAGUAAAACUGUCUGACACUGCCGUGUACUACUGUGGUCUGAGAACCACAAUGCAUCAGGGCUGUUACUUGGUGUGCACAAAACCAGAAUAG